This 1075-nucleotide long non-coding RNA is filed under the name Androctonus crassicauda. The record is from RNAcentral. Lineage: Eukaryota; Metazoa; Arthropoda; Arachnida; Scorpiones; Buthidae.
AAAAUUAUCAUAUUUUCCCCACUAUACUUACUUGUUUUCCUUUUCUUUAUUCCUUUAAAAUCAGACGUAUUUUGUAAAUGCAAUUAAAUGCUAUAACCGUGUAAAAAAGAAAAUAUACUUACAACCAUCGAAGAUACCUCAUGUCUCUUUCGUAAAAUUUUCGCCUGAAAUAAUCCGAUGAAUCUGGCGAAUAUUGCCACAAAUCACUUUAAAAAUAGUUAUUUAUUUUAUUUUAGAAUUUUAGACUAUUGCGGUUAUCUUUUUAUACCUUAUUCUCUGUAUUUCUUCCUUUAUAUUUUCUGGUAUUCGGUACAUAUCUGGAGGCAGCUCCGAUAGCCAAUCGAUAUAUCUCAUAUCUUGUUCAAACUCCAGCUCCUCACACGUACCAAAAGGUUGCCUGGACCAUUUAGACCUUUAAUACCAUAAAAAUUAAUUCCUCAUGUUUACAGAAAGAAAAUAAUACCAGAUAAUAGUUACAUGAUUUCGCCUAUCAAUUCGCCUGGAGUUAUUCCUAAUGGCAGUUCCCAGUCUUCUCGAUUUUCUUCUAAGUGAAUACAAAAUUUUAUAUCUAACACUAUAUUACUACUUUAAAAAUCUAAAAUAUACCUCCGGACAUCUUAAAGUUUUCCAUUUUCGUUUUGUUCGCAAGUUGGGCUACUAUGGCGUAAUAAAAUAUUACAAGAAAAGUCACGCUAAUAGCCCUUUAUAUACGUUUCUGAACUCCUAAAAUAGUACUUAAUCAAAACAUUACGUAGAAAUACAUUAUUUUUAUCUCAAUGAAAGAAUGUUUUUAAUCUCUAGUAGUUCUUGCAAUUAUUUUCAAUUCGGAAAAUCUAAAUAUAAAAACCGAGAAUACUCUUCGACAACAUCGUUAUAAGUAGACUAGACGUUAAUGUGGAUGAAAUGGUCUUAUAUAAUCCCAAAAAGGUUAGUUUUAUGCAUAUAUUAUUAUUAUUAAAACUAAUUUUAUUUUAUAUGCCACCUAUUGUUUUUCUUCGAAUUUAUUGCGCUACUCUCCGUAAUUGACGAACUAUUGUAUUACUGUAUUAAUAAUUGUAGCAAAUAUGGAACCUUG